UACUCAAAGCAGCAAUGGAUCCCUGCAUG
RNAcentral lists this non-coding RNA (29 nucleotides) under Mus musculus (house mouse). The record is from RNAcentral. Lineage: Eukaryota; Metazoa; Chordata; Mammalia; Rodentia; Muridae.